Molecule: non-coding RNA, 106 nt
Organism: Acanthosepion pharaonis
Lineage: Eukaryota; Metazoa; Mollusca; Cephalopoda; Sepiida; Sepiidae
Source: the annotation of a GenBank genome assembly
CAGCCACAACACGUUGAAACACCAGUUCCUGUACAAUCACCAAAGUUAAGCUACAUUGAGCCUGGUCAGUACUUAGAUGAGUAACUACUUGGGAAUACCAGGUGGU